UUAAAGGUAACAUCAGUGGUUGAAGGAGCUACCCUGGAAAGGUAGUAUGCGGGUAACUGUAUCGAGGGUUCGAAUCCCUUCCUCUCUG
RNAcentral lists this transfer RNA (88 nucleotides) under Chryseobacterium sp. Leaf405. RNAcentral's name for it is "tRNA-Ser". Lineage: Bacteria; Pseudomonadati; Bacteroidota; Flavobacteriia; Flavobacteriales; Weeksellaceae. The record is from RNAcentral.